This 302-nucleotide long non-coding RNA is filed under the name Chinchilla lanigera (long-tailed chinchilla). RNAcentral describes it as "lncRNA (ENSCLAG00000027907.1)". The record is from RNAcentral. Lineage: Eukaryota; Metazoa; Chordata; Mammalia; Rodentia; Chinchillidae.
AUGGCCUCCCACAAAGAAGAACCUGAUAACAGGAGCAGUUCCAAGAAGGCAUCUUUGAGUCUUUGUUCCGGACAACAAGAACCUGGAAAGAAUCUCCAGAAGGAGUGCACAGUGACCCAGAACCCCAGCAAGAAACCUAUCCUAGCCCUUAUACUCAAAUGGAGAACUUGGGGUGUGCUGCAGCCGGCAAGCUGGUGCCCUGUACAAUAAGUUAAGUGAAGAGGGCAAGAACGGUUUACGAGAUCUUUGCAAAAUCCAUAAUUAAGAAGUCUAGUCGCAUGAAAAGUAAAAGCAAUAACUGC